AUCCAGCUGACGAGUCCCAAAUAGAACUUGACGCGCGUCAAACUGGAU
Schistosoma mansoni is the source of this 48-nucleotide non-coding RNA. NCBI's taxonomy places the organism in Eukaryota, Metazoa, Platyhelminthes, Trematoda, Strigeidida, Schistosomatidae. The record is from Rfam.